RNAcentral lists this ribosomal RNA (918 nucleotides) under uncultured bacterium. Its description in RNAcentral is "bacterial SSU rRNA". It matches the Rfam family "Bacterial small subunit ribosomal RNA", at positions 8 to 919 of the family's 1533-position model. The record is from RNAcentral.
AGAGUUUGAUGGUGGCUCAGGAUGAACGCUAGCGGGAGGCCUAACACAUGCAAGUCGAGGGGUAACGGAAGUAGCUUGCUACUAGACGACGACCGGCGCACGGGUGAGUAACGCGUAUGCAACCUACCUCAAACAGGGAGAUAGCCCAGAGAAAUUUGGAUUAAUACCCCAUAGUAAGUGAUUAUCGCAUGGUAAUUACUUUAAAGCUCCGGCGGUUUGAGAUGGGCAUGCGUGGCAUUAGUUAGUUGGUGAGGUAACGGCUCACCAAGGCUACGAUGCCUAGGGGUUCUGAGAGGAUGAUCCCCCACACUGGUACUGAGACACGGACCAGACUCCUACGGGAGGCAGCAGUGAGGAAUAUUGGUCAAUGGGCGCAAGCCUGAACCAGCCAUCCCGCGUGAAGGAUGACUGCCCUAUGGGUUGUAAACUUCUUUUAUGUGCCAAGAAUGUUCUCUACGUGUAGAGUUUUGACGGUAGCACAUGAAUAAGCAUCGGCUAACUCCGUGCCAGCAGCCGCGGUAAUACGGAGGAUGCAAGCGUUAUCCGGAUUCAUUGGGUUUAAAGGGUACGUAGGUGGCCAAUUAAGUCAGUGGUGAAAUCCUGCCGCUUAACGGUAGAACUGCCAUUGAUACUGGUUGGCUUGAGUAUAGUUGAGGUAGGCGGAAUGUGUAGUGUAGCGGUGAAAUGCUUAGAUAUUACACAGAACCCCGAUUGCGAAGGCAGCUUACUAAACUAUAACUGACACUGAGGUACGAAAGCGUGGGGGAGCGAACAGGAUUAGAUACCCUGGUAGUCCACGCCGUAAACGAUGCUCACUCGCUGUAUGCGAUACACAGUAUGCGGCCAAGCGAAAGUAUUAAGUGAGCCACCUGGGGGAGUACGUCGGCAACGGUGAAACUCAAAGGGAAUUGACGGGGG